UUUCUGAAUAGUGUUGGGGCGGUCUCGGUGCUGCUAGAGACGCCAUCCGGCUUCGCCGUCUUCUGCUUCUGUGGGCUCUUCCUCUACGCACCGUAUGCACUACAGAGGGUGUGGGCAAACUUCGCUACUUGCAGUAGAGCAAGAAACGUUGUUUGGAUGAAGGAAUUCCGAACCUUUGACAACAAGUCCAGCGCCAUUAAUGCUGAUACUGGUGUUAACAAACAGCUUACGGAGAUGAUCAUGAAGUCACCCGGACCUGGGCAGGAGAUACUAGUUGGGAAACCGGAAUAUAAAUCUAUAAUUGAAAAAAGCUUGGGAAUACCCUGUCGGCAUGAUGAACUUGUGAUGGAGGUAAUGUGGGGAUUAAAGCGUCUCAUGCCUAGUUUGGUGCGCAGAGAAAAAACAGAGCUGCCUAAAGAAGAUCUGCUCCCUAUGAGUCAAGGACUACAGAUGUUGUUGAGUCGUUAUGGCUUUGAUGUCAAACCAGAGAUGGUCAAUGAGCAGAUUGUUGCGACCGCAUCCGUCUCGUUUGACUGUGAUGCUUUUGAGGAGAAACGUUCUCCAGGCUUUUGAUGUAUUGGUCGCCACCUGAAGAAAAUUUCCGGCAUCGAAUGUGAGAAUUGGGACCUUCUGAAACUUGCGACAGCUUUUAAGAUCACAUGCAGCCGUGAAAUUGACGAUUCUAAUGAGAUGUUUCCAGAAGACGUGCAAACAAAGUUGCUGGAUGAUGCUGAUAAAUACGAAAAGAAGAUAAAUAAGUUAGUUUGCCUGUUGCACCACAAACAAAUAGAGUCUAACCAUCAGACCAAGACUCGUCACAAAGAUAUGUUGGCUGUCCUGGUAAAGAAAGCGAAAGAAGCGCAUGAGGCUGAACUAGCGGAUGUCCCGUGA
Molecule: ribosomal RNA, 891 nt
Filed under: Triticum aestivum (bread wheat)
Lineage: Eukaryota; Viridiplantae; Streptophyta; Magnoliopsida; Poales; Poaceae
Description: partial small subunit ribosomal RNA
Source: RNAcentral